This 468-nucleotide ribosomal RNA is filed under the name uncultured bacterium. Its description in RNAcentral is "partial 16S ribosomal RNA". It matches the Rfam family "Bacterial small subunit ribosomal RNA", at positions 28 to 507 of the family's 1533-position model. The record is from RNAcentral.
GACGAACGCUGGCGGCGUGCUUAACACAUGCAAGUCGAACGGAAAGGCCCUGCUUUUGUGGGGUGCUCGAGUGGCGAACGGGUGAGUAACACGUGAGUAACCUGCCCUUUACUUUGGGAUAACUUCAGGAAACUGGGGCUAAUACCGGAUAGGAGCUCCUGCUGCAUGGUGGGGGUUGGAAAGUUUCGGCGGUUGGGGAUGGACUCGCGGCUUAUCAGCUUGUUGGUGGGGUAGUGGCUUACCAAGGCUUUGACGGGUAGCCGGCCUGAGAGGGUGACCGGACACAUUGGGACUGAGAUACGGCCCAGACUCCUACGGGAGGCAGCAGUGGGGAAUAUUGCACAAUGGGCGGAAGCCUGAUGCAGCAACGCCGCGUGCGGGAUGACGGCCUUCGGGUUGUAAACCGCUUUCGCCUGUGACGAAGCGUGAGUGACGGUAAUGGGUAAAGAAGCACCGGCUAACUACGUG